Molecule: long non-coding RNA, 99 nt
Organism: Apis florea (little honeybee)
Lineage: Eukaryota; Metazoa; Arthropoda; Insecta; Hymenoptera; Apidae
Source: RefSeq, a predicted model, not a curated record
AAGGUCAGGAAAAACAUUUUCGGCAUAUUUUACUUUUUUAUAAAAGGUAAGAAUGGUGUUCAGACGAGAAAAAGUUAUGCGAAGUCUAUGGAGAAGGUG